RNAcentral lists this long non-coding RNA (206 nucleotides) under Vigna radiata. RNAcentral's name for it is "long non-coding RNA (VRAD_LNC018449)". Lineage: Eukaryota; Viridiplantae; Streptophyta; Magnoliopsida; Fabales; Fabaceae. The record is from RNAcentral.
UGUAAGUAAUAAAGAGCGGGAGUGCAAAAAUUGAAAAGAGAUGAAAAUGGGGUGCAGUAAUCAAACAAGUCCGAAAAACAAGGCCCAACCCAAACAGAAAUAAACAAGACUGUAGGGUUAUAAUACAGAGGGAAAUUACUUCUUACACCCUACAUUUUCUUUUUACACCUUAUCACCUAUCACUAAAAAGAUAAAUUACGACCCCU